This 499-nucleotide ribosomal RNA is filed under the name uncultured bacterium. Its description in RNAcentral is "bacterial SSU rRNA". It matches the Rfam family "Bacterial small subunit ribosomal RNA", at positions 899 to 1397 of the family's 1533-position model. The record is from RNAcentral.
ACUCAAAUGAAUAGACGGGGGCCCGCACAAGCAGCGGAGCAUGUGGUUUAAUUCGAAGCAACGCGAAGAACCUUACCAAGGCUUGACAUACCGAUGACCGGUGUAGAGAUACACCUUUCCUUAGGGACAUUGGAUACAGGUGGUGCAUGGUUGUCGUCAGCUCGUGUCGUGAGAUGUUGGGUUAAGUCCCGCAACGAGCGCAACCCCUGUGAUUAGUUGCCAGCACGUAAUGGUGGGAACUCUAAUGAGACUGCCGGGGAUAACUCGGAGGAAGGUGGGGACGACGUCAAAUCAUCAUGCCCUUUAUGUCUUGGGCUACACACGUGCUACAAUGGAAAGUACAAAGAGCAGCGACCAGGUAACUGCAAGCGAAUCUCAAAAAGCUUUCCUCAGUUCGGAUUGUGGGCUGCAACCCGCCCACAUGAAGUUGGAGUUGCUAGUAAUCGCGGAUCAGCAUGCCGCGGUGAAUGCGUUCCCGGGCCUUGCACACACCGCCCGU